UCGAUAAGCUUGAUAUCCACUGUGGAAUUCGCCCUUCUCAAAGAUUAAGCCAUGCAUGUCUAAGUUUAAGCAAUUUAAACAGUGAAACUGCGAAUGGCUCAUUAUAUCAGUUAUAGCCUAUUUGAUAGUACCUUACUAGUUGGAUAUCGUAGUAAUUCUAGAGUUAAUACAUGCUUGAAGAUGUGUUUUUAUAAUACAUUGCAUUUAUUAGAUUGAAACUAAUUUUAAAGUUGAGUCAUAAUAACUGUGCGGAUCGUUUUGUAAAAAGCGAUGAAUCAAUUGGGUUUCUGCCCUAUCAGUUUUGGAUGGCUGUGUAUUGGACAGCCAUGACAUUAACGGGUAACGGGGAAUUGGGGUUUGAUACCGGAGAGGGCGCCUUAGAAAUGGCGACCACAUCCARGGAAGGCAGCAGGCGCGUAAAUUACCCAAUCCUAAUUCUAGGGAGGUAGUGACUAGAAAUAACGAUUCGAGAUGCUUUGCAUUUUGAAAUUGGAAUGAGAACAAUUUAAAUCCCUUAUCGAGGAUCAAUUGGAGGGCAAGUCUGGUGCCAGCAGCCGCGGUAAUUCCAGCUCCAAUAGCGUAUAUUAAAGUUGUUGCAGUUAAAAAGCUCGUAGUUGGAUUGGUGUUGGUUAUGUUUCUCUGGGAAAUUCUCAAAGCGACGUUAACCAAUAUAUUUGGGAUUUGGUCUAGAAUGGCAUUAAGUUGUUGAUUUAGCUCCAGCCCAUCGUUUACUGUGAAAAAAUUAGAGUGUUUAAAGCAGGUUUUAUAACCGUUGAAUACAUUAGCAUGGAAUAAUAAUAUAUGACUCGUAUGGUCUAUUUUGUUGGUUUGCACGUAUGAGUAAUGAUUAAUAGGGACAGUUGGGGGUAUUCAUAUUUGAGCGUCAGAGGUGAAAUUCUUGGAUCGCUGAAAGAUGAGCUAAGGCGAAAGCAUUUACCAAGGAUGUUUUCAUUAAUCAAGAACGAAAGUUAGGGGAUCGAAGAUGAUUAGAUACCAUCGUAGUCUUAAC
RNAcentral lists this ribosomal RNA (1009 nucleotides) under Miracula islandica. RNAcentral describes it as "Miracula sp. AB-2020a partial small subunit ribosomal RNA". The record is from RNAcentral. Lineage: Eukaryota; Oomycota; Miraculaceae.